Molecule: ribosomal RNA, 237 nt
Filed under: uncultured Glomeromycotina
Lineage: Eukaryota; Fungi; Glomeromycota
Description: partial 18S ribosomal RNA
Rfam family: Eukaryotic small subunit ribosomal RNA (bases 46-237)
Source: RNAcentral
GGAUCAAGGAAUCGGUCAUGCCUUGGUAUGUACUGGUUUUAUUGGUUCUCACCUUCUAAAGAACCAUAAUGUCAUUUAUUUGAUGUUAUGGGGAAAUAGGACUGUUACCUUGAAAAAUUAGAGUGUUUAAAGCAAGCUUACGCUUGAAUACAUUAGCAUGGAAUAAUGAAAUAGGACAUCAGAUUCUAUUUUGUUGGUUUCUAGGAUCGAUGUAAUGAUUAAUAGGGAUAGUUGGGC